UCAUUUAAUAUUAUUUAUUUUUAAUUUAUCGUGUGUACUAUCGCAUUAAUAAAUAAACUAAUUAUUUUUCUCUUACGUAAUAAAUUGGUCAAAAAUGCAUAUACAAAUUACCGAUAAGUCGAACAUAAAUGUAAAUAUUCUUAUUUUAUCAUCUUUCGAGAAAAAAAAUCGAUGAUCCUUUAAAACACGUGGGAAUCAGCAGAUGUAUGAUGUAUUUAUGUAUAUUAGUAUAUGAUAAAAGUGUGAUCGCGCUUUUAUCUAUCCGCUUAAACUUUAGCCUAUUAUUUGUACAUACAGUACCGAACAAAAAUAUUGGAAGAAACUAACAUUUUUUUGUAGCAAUUUAUAAAAAAAUAAAAUCAUAAUUUAAACCGUGGACAAAUUAUAAGUGUAUGAUAAAAAAUAUAUCUUUUUUUACGAUUAAAAAUAUUUUUCUAGUAAAAACGGUCUCCCUUGUGCAUUUCUUAUUACAUUUUUUUUUUAUUACAUACAUUGAAUUUCUAUGGCUUACAAUAUGGUUGAAUUAUUAAACUCGGUAGAUAUAUUUAAGAAGAAAAAAAAAUAAAAUAAAAAAAAUAUAUACUUUUUAGAAAUUUACAGAAAAAUGUAUUCCAAUGUGCCAAUACUUUUGUUCGGCACUGUAUGCGCUAUUUCAUGCCAUUAGUAUUUAAGUACACGUAUACAUAUAUGUAUAAAUAUAUGUAAUUUAACUUUAUCAUAUCAUUUAUUUUUCAAUAUUUUCAAUAUAAGUAUUUAAUACAUAUAUUUUUUUUUACAAAAUUUAUCAUAUCUCAAAAUCCCCCCGUUGAGAGACGAUCGAUAACUAACGAAGAUCGCAUAUUGGUUGUUGAAUAGGCAACCUGGCACCAGACGGUAUUGUUAAAAUCGUAGCUGAUAGAAGCUGAUUCUUAGAAGAUCUUAGCAGCUAUUGAGAUUAUCGUCGUCUUUCAAAUUGAUCUUCGAUGGUAUUGUUUUAUCUGAAGUAUCUUCCAAGAAGGAGAUCUUUCCGCGUCUCACUCCGUUUAUCGAUUAUACACCUUUGGUACAAAGAUUGUUUUCUUCUUUGAUCGUCUCGUUCUCGAUCGGUAGAACAUUGUUAUCGUCAAACUACUAGAAAUAAUUGUUUACAAAUAAUGCCAGGAUAAUUGGUCGUACGUGUCAAACUUUAGUUGGAUCCUUAACUUCCUACAAGCCGCAUAUGUUACAUCAAAUAAAUUCAAUUUAACGAAUGACAGACAUACAAAAAUACGAGAACAAUGUUCAUCGUGCAUGCGAACAAAAUAUUAAUGUUCGAAUAUUUAAAAAGCCCGUUGCGGAACAACGAAGGUAACAUCCAAUAUUUUUUUAAACGAAAUUAAUUCCAUUUGUCACGUUAACUUCGUAUAUCAAAACGAAGUUUUAUUGAUCACGGCUUUUAACGGUGUCGCAUCAUAUUUGUAUUAUUUUAACAAAUAUUAAAAAACAUCAAAGUAACUUACUUAUUUUAAUUUGAAUGAUAACAUACAGAUACAUAUACCAAUUCGUAACUUUUUUCUUGUUCUAUUAUUUAAGACAAAUCGAUGCUCAUACGAGCAUCCUUAUAUUCAUUUUGAUCGAAUGAACUUAUUAAUGCACGGUAUCCCGCGCAAUAAUUUGAAAUAUUGAUAAACGUAUGAAGACUUAACAAUAGUACAAUAUGAUAUCGACGUGUGUCCGCCAUUUCUUAUUGGAUGAAACCUUUGCAGUCGCAGAGCAGCAUGGCAUAGUAAUAAUGAUAAUACGCGUCGUCCAAUUCGUAAUUCUUGCUUCGCAAAUUUAAUCCGCUUUUGGCAACGCUUAAGAACCGAUCCAGAGGAAUUAACGAGUGAAAUCAGAAUUGAAACGCAACCGGGAAAACGUAUAAAUGUAAACGUUGAGAAAGAAGAAGAAAAAAAAGAAGAAGAGGACAGAAGAAGGAGAUUUUAAGGAGAGCCGAUUAAAAGUGCUGCUCUCGCAUAAAAUAUUCCUUUAGCUGAUUUAACAUUCAUACGUUUGUAAGCUUGAAGGUAAAGAGAGAGUAGAGUGGUUCAUCGAACGAGGUCAAGCUAUACCUACGUCUCGUCUCUUGUUGAUAACGAAUGCAUAACUCUAAGAGGGAGAUACUUUAAAAAACGAUAUCAUUGGAGUCGACCUUUUGCCAAUGGAAAUGAUUUCCAUCUGAAAACGAGCCAAGAGAUAUAAUCGCUUUGUUCCAUCAGGAACAUUAUCGGGAUUUAAAUCUUUCUUUCUUUUGAUUCCCCUGGUAUAUAUGAGUAUAUAAAAAAAGGAAAAAUAUCAAAUACGCGGGAAGGGUAGGAUGUUAUAGGUUUACUUUGAAA
This 2336-nucleotide long non-coding RNA is filed under the name Polistes fuscatus (common paper wasp). RNAcentral describes it as "uncharacterized LOC122520704". The record is from RNAcentral. Lineage: Eukaryota; Metazoa; Arthropoda; Insecta; Hymenoptera; Vespidae.